RNAcentral lists this transfer RNA (59 nucleotides) under Luperomorpha hainana. Its description in RNAcentral is "tRNA-Ile". Lineage: Eukaryota; Metazoa; Arthropoda; Insecta; Coleoptera; Chrysomelidae. The record is from RNAcentral.
UAUGAAGAGCCUGAUUAAAGGGUAAUCUUGAUAGGAUUAAUCAUGUGAAAUUCACCUUC